CCUACGGGGGGCAGCAGUGGGGAAUAUUGGACAAUGGGCGCAAGCCUGAUCCAGCAAUGCCGCGUGUGUGAAGAAGGCCUGCGGGUUGUAAAGCCCUUUAAGCAGGAAAGAAGGGGUGAAAGUUAAUACCUUUCAUCAUUGACGUUACCUGCAGAAUAAGCACCGGCUAACUCCGUGCCAGCAGCCGCGGUAAUACGGAGGGUGCGAGCGUUGCGCAGAGUUCGUGGACGUAGAUUGCGCAGUCGCGGGUGAAAGCCCUGGGCUUAACCUGGGAACUGCGGUGGAUACUGUCGGGCUAGAGUGUGGUAGAGGGGAGUGGAAUUUCCGGUGUAGCAGUGAAAUGCGUAGAGAUCGGAAGGAACACCAGUGGCGAAGGCGGCUCCCUGGACUAACACUGACGCUGAGGUGCGAAAGCGUGGGGAGCAAACAGGAUUAGAUACCCCAGUAGUC
This 450-nucleotide ribosomal RNA is filed under the name uncultured bacterium. Its description in RNAcentral is "partial 16S ribosomal RNA". It matches the Rfam family "Bacterial small subunit ribosomal RNA", at positions 338 to 795 of the family's 1533-position model. The record is from RNAcentral.